RNAcentral lists this ribosomal RNA (497 nucleotides) under uncultured bacterium. Its description in RNAcentral is "partial 16S ribosomal RNA". It matches the Rfam family "Bacterial small subunit ribosomal RNA", at positions 28 to 507 of the family's 1533-position model. The record is from RNAcentral.
GAUGAACGCUGGCGGCGUGCCUAAUACAUGCCAGUCGAGCGAACAGACGAGGAGCUUGCUCUUCUGACGUUAGCGGCGGACGGGUGAGUAACACGUGGAUAACCUACCUAUAAGACUGGGAUAACUUCGGGAAACCGGAGCUAAUACCGGAUAAUAUAUUGAACCGCAUGGUUCAAUAGUGAAAGACGGUUUUGCUGUCACUUAUAGAUGGAUCCGCGCCGCAUUAGCUAGUUGGUAAGGUAACGGCUUACCAAGGCAACGAUGCGUAGCCGACCUGAGAGGGUGAUCGGCCACACUGGAACUGAGACACGGUCCAGACUCCUACGGGAGGCAGCAGUAGGGAAUCUUCCGCAAUGGGCGAAAGCCUGACGGAGCAACGCCGCGUGAGUGAUGAAGGUCCUCGGAUCGUAAAACUCUGUUAUUAGGGAAGAACAAAUGUGUAAGUAACUAUGCACGUCUUGACGGUACCUAAUCAGAAAGCCACGGCUAACUACGUG